GUCUUUUUGAUUUUAAUUUAAAGUUUAACCUGCCCAUUGAAAAUUUUUAAAAGGYUGCGGUAUUUUGACUGUACAAAGGUAGCAUAAUCAUUAGUUUUUUAAUUGAAAACUUGUAUGAAUGGUUGGAUGAGAAAUUAACUUUUUUAAAAAAAUAAUUGAAUUUUACUUUUUAAUUAAAAGGUUAAAAUAAAUUUAAAAGACGAGAAGACCCUAUAGAGUUUUAUAAUUUAUAUUUAAUAUUUAAAAAGAUUAAUUAAAAUUUUAUAAAAUAAAAUAUUUUGUUGGGGUGAUAAUAAAAUUUAAAUAACUUUUAUUUUUUUUUUACAUUAAUAUAUGAAUUUAUGAUCCAUUAUUGAUGAUUAGAAAUUUAAAUUACCUUAGGGAUAACAGCGUAAUUUUUUUUUAAAGUUCAUAUUAAUAAAAAAUUUUGCGACCUCGAUGUUGGAUUAANAUUUAAUUUUAGGUGCAGCARUUUAAAUUUUAAGUCUGUUCGACUUUUAAAUUCUU
Molecule: ribosomal RNA, 507 nt
Filed under: Pseudolycoriella wernermohrigi
Lineage: Eukaryota; Metazoa; Arthropoda; Insecta; Diptera; Sciaridae
Description: partial 16S ribosomal RNA
Source: RNAcentral